RNAcentral lists this ribosomal RNA (509 nucleotides) under uncultured bacterium. RNAcentral describes it as "bacterial SSU rRNA". It matches the Rfam family "Bacterial small subunit ribosomal RNA", at positions 775 to 1280 of the family's 1533-position model. The record is from RNAcentral.
AGUCAAUAGAUACCCGGGUAGUCCACGCCGUAAACGAUGUCGACUUGGAGGUUGUGCCCUUGAGGCGUGGCUUCCGGAGCUAAACGCGUUAAGUCGACCGCCUGGGGAGUACGGCCGCAAGGUUAAAACUCAAAUGAAUUGACGGGGGCCCGCACAAGCGGUGGAGCAUGUGGUUUAAUUCGAUGCAACGCGAAGAACCUUACCUACUCUUGACAUCCAGAGAACUUAGCAGAGAUGCUUUGGUGCCUUCGGGAACUCUGAGACAGGUGCUGCAUGGCUGUCGUCAGCUCGUGUUGUGAAAUGUUGGGUUAAGUCCCGCAACGAGCGCAACCCUUAUCCUUUGUUGCCAGCGGUUAGGCCGGGAACUCAAAGGAGACUGCCAGUGAUAAACUGGAGGAAGGUGGGGAUGACGUCAAGUCAUCAUGGCCCUUACGAGUAGGGCUACACACGUGCUACAAUGGCGCAUACAAACGAGAAGCGACCUCGCGAGAGCAAGCGGACCUCAUAAA